RNAcentral lists this long non-coding RNA (2172 nucleotides) under Nicotiana benthamiana. RNAcentral describes it as "long non-coding RNA (NBEN_LNC019589)". Lineage: Eukaryota; Viridiplantae; Streptophyta; Magnoliopsida; Solanales; Solanaceae. The record is from RNAcentral.
UUAAUGAAAAAGUAAUUAAGUUUGGCUUGCCUAGCUCCUAUUAGUAGGAGCCAUCACAACCUUCGAGGGUGGGAAAUCCGAAUCAUCACAUACUCAAACACCAACAUAAGCUCCUACAGAUUUCACAAUGGAAAGCCAUACUUCAGCUCACGUCUCAGAUCCUCAAGAUCAUAUUGAAGAAAAGACAUCUGUGCAAAAUACCUGUUAUGCCUAUCACUGAGAAUCAUCAGAAUGAUCAACCUAACUAACAACCUGCCACUAGAAACUCAAGUAGAGGUACACAACCUCCAGUUUGGGUGAAAGAUUUUGUUUCUCUUAAUAUACAUUAGGAUGUACCCUAUGCCUUAAACAAAUACAUAGGAUAUAAAAAUCUGUCACCUAAGUAUCAAGCAUAUAUUGUUCCUUCUUCUACUGUUUGUGAACCUGCUGCAUACUUUGAAGCUAUUAAAGAUCCUCUAUGGGUUGAAACCUUCAUGAGCUGGAGUUUAGGAAUCGGGUAAAGGUGUUGUCCAUUCCAUAGACGAGAGACCAGUUGACCCACAAUGAAUAAAGGGAUAAAGACACUUGAAACUAAUCAUAUAUGGGAUGUUGUUAGUCUGUAACAAGGUAAAACCAAUAAGGUGUAAAUAGAUCUAUAAAAUAAAAUACAAGGCAUCAGGAGAGAUUGGAGAUUCAAAGCUCGAUUAUUAGCAAAAGGGUACAGUCAACAUGAAGAAAUUGACUACCAGGAAAUAUUUUUACCCGUUACGAAGAUAGUCACUGUAAGAACUGUACUGCAGUAGCAGCAACAAGAAAGUGGCACAUGCUCAAAUGGAUAUAUUCAAUGCAUUUCUUCAAGGAGAUCUUCAUGAUGAAAUAUAUAUGAACUCGCCUCGAGGAUUUAAUAGUCAGGGGGAGAGUAGAUCAGCGUACAGACUUGUUAAAUUCUUGUAUGGACUUAAACAAGCACCAAAACAGUAGUAUGAAAAACUGUUUGAAGCUCUACAAAAGUUCAAGUUUAAAAGAGUCAAUCUGAUCACUCUUUGUUCAUAAGAAGGACAAAUGAAGGCAUUGUUAUAGUCGUAGUAUAUGUUAAUGAUAUACUAAUCACAACAAAAAUUUUGAAACUUGUGAAAGAAACAAAAGCUUCACUACAGCAAGCUAACUAAAAUACUUUCUUGGCAUUGAAUUUGCCAGAUCUAAGCAAUGGAGCACAAUGCACCAGAGAAAGUGUGUGUUGGAACUCAUUUCAGAAGUUGUCCAAAAAACUACUAAACCUGCAGUAACUCCCAUUGAUAUUUCUAUGAAGCUUACUUCUAAACAAUAUGAUGAUCAUCUUGGAAAGAAUACAAAAACAGGAGAAGAUCCUUUAACAGAUCAAACAACCAAUCAAAGGCUCGUAGAAAAGUUAUUAUAUUUAGAAGUAACAAGGCCAGACCUUGCUGUUGGAGUUCAUACAUUGAGUGAAUUUCUUCAGCAACCAAAGAAAGCUCAUAUGGAAGAAGCCUUAAGAAUUGUAAGAUAUGUAACGCAAGGUAGGGUAAGGUUUGUAUACAUACUAUCCUUUCUAGACCCCACGGUUUGGGAUAAUACUGGGUAUGUUAUGAUUGUUGUUGUAUGUACAGAAUCAACUAGGGCAGGGCAUCCUGUUAUCCAGUAAUUUCAAUAAACAACAUCACUGCAUAUUGUGAUGCAGAUUGGGCAGCCUGCCUACUCACAAGAAACCCCAUUACUGGUUUCCUAGUUAAAGUAGGGGACUCUAUAAUAUCAUGGAAACCUAAGAAGCAAAUUACAGUUUCUAGGAGCUCUGCACAAGCUGAAUAUAAGAGCAUUGCAAUAACUGUAGCAGAACUGGUUUGGCUUUUUAGGUGUGCUAAAGGAAGUAGACACAAAAUUUAAGGCUCCAGUUAACAUUUAUACAGGCAGUAAGACAGCUAUACAAAUAGCUACAAAUCCAGUUUAUUAUGAAAAAACAAAACACAUAGAAAUUGAUUGUCAUUUCGUAAGAGAAAAAUACAACAAGGCCUACUAUCACCAACUACAUCACUACAAAAGAGCAACUUGCUGAUAUUCUCACCAAAGGUCUCAAUCGAGAACAGAGCAAGAAACUCCAAGAAAGUAAUCUAAAUCAUAAAUACGAAAGUUUCCCUACAAAGGGGUUGGCUUCAACAACCCAUAAAGAACGGCUUGCCA